UGGAGUCUGUAACCCGAACUCCAUGAAGUUGGAUUCGCUAGUAAUCGCGCAUCAGCCAUGGCGCGGUGAAUACGUUCCCGGGCCUUGUACACACCGCCCGUCAAGCCAUGGAAGCCGGGGGUGCCUGAAGUCCGUAACCGUGAGGAUCGGCCUAGGGCAAAACUGGUAACUGGGGCUAAGUCGUAACAAGGUAGC
This 195-nucleotide ribosomal RNA is filed under the name uncultured bacterium. Its description in RNAcentral is "partial 16S ribosomal RNA". It matches the Rfam family "Bacterial small subunit ribosomal RNA", at positions 1299 to 1500 of the family's 1533-position model. The record is from RNAcentral.